RNAcentral lists this ribosomal RNA (468 nucleotides) under uncultured bacterium. Its description in RNAcentral is "partial 16S ribosomal RNA". It matches the Rfam family "Bacterial small subunit ribosomal RNA", at positions 28 to 507 of the family's 1533-position model. The record is from RNAcentral.
GACGAACGCUGGCGGCGUGCUUAACACAUGCAAGUCGAACGGAAAGGCCCUGCUUUUGUGGGGUGCUCGAGUGGCGAACUGGUGAGUAACACUUGAGUAACCUGCCCUUGACUUUGGGAUAACUUCCGGAAACUGGGGCUCAUACCGGAUAGGAGCUCCUGCUGCAUGGUGGGGGUUGGAAAGUUUCGGCGGUUGGGGAUGGACUCGCGGCUUAUCAGCUUGUUGGUGGGGUAGUGGCUUACCAAGGCUUUGACGGGUAGCCGGCCUGAGAGGGUGACCGGCCACAUUGGGACUGAGAUACGGCCCAGACUCCUACGGGAGGCAGCAGUGGGGAAUAUUGCACAAUGGGCGGAAGCCUGAUGCAGCAACGCCGCGUGCGGGAUGACGGCCUUCGGGUUGUAAACCGCUUUCGCCUGUGACGAAGCGUGAGUGACGGUAAUGGGUAAAGAAGCACCGGCUAACUACGUG